This 431-nucleotide ribosomal RNA is filed under the name uncultured bacterium. Its description in RNAcentral is "partial 16S ribosomal RNA". It matches the Rfam family "Bacterial small subunit ribosomal RNA", at positions 29 to 506 of the family's 1533-position model. The record is from RNAcentral.
AACGAACGCUGGCGGCAUGCCUAACACAUGCAAGUCGAACGAGACCUUCGGGUCUAGUGGCGCACGGGUGCGUAACGCGUGGGAACCUGCCUUUAGGUUCGGAAUAACUCAGAGAAAUUUGAGCUAAUACCGGAUGAUGUCUUCGGACCAAAGAUUUAUCGCCUUUAGAUGGGCCCGCGUUGGAUUAGCUAGUUGGUGGGGUAAAGGCCUACCAAGGCGACGAUCCAUAGCUGGUCUGAGAGGAUGAUCAGCCACACUGGGACUGAGACACGGCCCAGACUCCGCGGGGGGGCAGGAGGGGGGAAUAUUGGAAAAGGGGGAAAGGCUUGACCCACCAGUCCCGGGGGAGUGAUGAGGGCUUGGGGUUGUAAAGGCUUUUUACCCCGAGUUGAAAUGAACAGAAUGGGGAAAAAAACCCCCGCCAACCCCGG